RNAcentral lists this ribosomal RNA (247 nucleotides) under uncultured bacterium. Its description in RNAcentral is "partial 16S ribosomal RNA". It matches the Rfam family "Bacterial small subunit ribosomal RNA", at positions 1254 to 1500 of the family's 1533-position model. The record is from RNAcentral.
ACCGUGAGGUAGAGCAAAUCACAAAACUCGGUCUCAGUUCAGAUUGCAGGCUGCAACUCGCCUGCAUGAAGUUGGAAUUGCUAGUAAUCGCGAAUCAGAAUGUCGCGGUGAAUACGUUCCCGGGUCUUGUACACACCGCCCGUCACACCAUGGGAGUCGGAAAUGCCCGAAGCCGGUGACUCAACCGCAAGGAGAGAGCCGUCGAACGGCAGGUCUGAUAACUGGGGUGAAGUCGUAACAAGGUAAC